RNAcentral lists this ribosomal RNA (492 nucleotides) under uncultured bacterium. RNAcentral's name for it is "partial 16S ribosomal RNA". It matches the Rfam family "Bacterial small subunit ribosomal RNA", at positions 29 to 507 of the family's 1533-position model. The record is from RNAcentral.
AGUGAACGCUGGCGGUAGGCCUAACGCAUGCAAGUCGAACGGCAGCACAGUAAGAGCUUGCUCUUACGGGUGGCGAGUGGCGGACGGGUGAGGAAUACAUCGGAAUCUACUUUUUCGUGGGGGAUAACGUAGGGAAACUUACGCUAAUACCGCAUACGACCUACGGGUGAAAUCAGGGGAUCUUCGGACCUUGCGCGAGUGAAUGUGCGGAUGUCGGAUUAGCUAGUUGGCGGGGUAAAGGCCCACCAAGGCGACGAUCCGUAGCUGGUCUGAGAGGAUGAUCAGCCACACUGGAACUGAGACACGGUCCAGACUCCUACGGGAGGCAGCAGUGGGGAAUAUUGGACAAUGGGCGCAAGCCUGAUCCAGCCAUACCGCGUGGGUGAAGAAGGCCUUCGGGUUGUAAAGCCCUUUUGUUGGGAAAGAAAAGCAGCAGGUUAAUACCUCGCUGUUCUGACGGUACCAAAAGAAUAAGCACCGGCUAACUUCGUG